Non-coding RNA from Chlorocebus sabaeus (green monkey), 6222 nucleotides. The record is from RefSeq and is a predicted model, not a curated record. Lineage: Eukaryota; Metazoa; Chordata; Mammalia; Primates; Cercopithecidae.
UUUAUAAAGGUUGCAGGGUAAAACUGUUUUUCUCUCCUAGUCCCACAUCAUUUAGAACACUGGAAAAAGUGCAUCCUGGCUAAGCACUUGGCCUCUGGACCGAAGCCAGGCUGCCUGGAUUCAAAUCAGGUCCCCCGCUUUCCCACCUGUAAAAUGGGGCUAAUCAGUGCAUCCACCUUGUAGGCUAUCAUGAGUAUUGAAGGAGUCAAAACACUUAAAUGCUUAAAGUAGUGCUUAGCACAUGGAGGAACUCAAUAGAUCUUAGUUAUUAUUCUUUUUCAAAUGACCUUGUUGUUUUUUAUGUUAACUUGUUUAUGUCUGAGAUGGGAAACCGAGGCUUAGCAAUAUAAGGUGAUCCUCCAAGCUCAUGCACCCAGCCCUCCCACACCGAUACAUUUCCUCCAAGAUGGCAGGUCCUCCCCAGCAUCUUGUGCUCAGGUCAAGCCCCAUGGCAUUGGCCAAGGUAGGCAAAUUCCUCUAUGAGAUAGGAGAGGGAGGGAAGGUGAGAGGGAGGGAAGGUGAGAGGGAGGGAAGGUGAGAGGGAGGGAAGGUGAGAGGGAGGGAGGAUGCAAUUCAAACAGGAUGUGUGGUACCAUCUACCUUUCUCUCAACAUAUGUGCACCCCAUGUGAGUGGGGAGACCCCAAUGGCUGUUCAGCUUGUCUUUCUUAGUUCCUGUGGCCCUUCUUCACCACACUGAGUGGGUUUCCAGUGUUUAAAGAUAUGUAUUUUCAAAGAGCACGGGCCCUAAAUGUAAACCAACUAAAGUUAUUCCAUCUGAAGCUCAACUGCCCCAGCAACAGACCUCUAAUCCUCCUGGAGCAAAAUCCAGCUGUCGUGGCCUUCACAAGAAGUGGCUGCCAUUCUGCAGUGUGGCCCUCUCCUAGGGGAGUUUAUUCACUACAAUGACCAUGAGAAUGAAGUCGCGGCCGCCCAACUGCCGCUCGUUUUUUGUCUUAGGUCAUUCCCCUUUUCCUAUUUUAUUCUCCUCUAAUGUAAACUUCCUAAAGUGCACACUGGACUCUUCACCGUGUCCCCAUAAUCACACAACCACACAACAUCUACAGCAACAAAAACAGUUUCCUUUUGCCAAAAUGCUAACAUUAAGAAUUAUUUUUAUUUUGGGGGGGUAGACUGCAAGAGCCUAAAGUGACAAAUCAGGACAGAGCAUGUGGCAUGUGCAGAAUAGGAUGCAUUUGCUUGACAAGAGGCACAAAGGAAUGAUGUUCAUUGAUGGGGACAGGCACCGGACCUCACUGCACUGGCCGGCGGUGCGCGGACACUGCAGCUGAAGGGACUCUUCCUCAUGAGCAAGUUUCCACACUUGGGCUUGAGUACGGCAAACAGCUAUAAUAAUGUCAAGACAGAGAACCUAAUUCUGGCUAAUGUAUUACUGAGUUCUAUGUGUUUGAAAAAUUACAGUAACAGUAGACACUGUUGAUGCUGUUAUUCCACUAAUCAAAACCAUCCCAAAGUUAUAUACAGGAAAAGAACAUGAUGCUGGUAGAGAAAAUGGGUGGAGACUGAAACGCAGUCAUUAGACCAGCAGCACCGAUCAGGGACUGUGGUGUUUGUAGACUCAGUAGGUGGCCAGUGGGACCAGGAAGCCAUUGCACACCAACAUUGCUAGUCAGGGCACUAUCUUUAGUUAUCUAUCACAAAACCAGGAGGCAUUCGCAGCAAAUUUUCUUAGUGCCCAUAUGGUCAUUGAUCCUGAACAAAUCAAUCUGACAGGUAAAAAUAGAACAAGGGUGACAACAAGCAGUACUUAAUUUCACCUGAUUCAUACGCAGACAAAUUCCACUUGGUCCCAGAUGAGACACCGCAUUGCUCCUUAGUCAUUCUGUGGAGGCUGCCUUGAGUGGCCUUGUCUACCCACACUGUCAAAGUGAAUGUUGCAGUUGAUCAAUGGCACAAUAAAGAAGAUGCAUUAGCAGCAACUAAAAAUGACUUGCUAAUUGGAGCUGACACAGUAAAAGCCCCCAUCUAGACCCUUGUCUAAUUGUACCAAGAUGGCAAAUAAAUGGCCCAAGAACAGACCAAGUGGCAUUUAUUGAUUCAGUUCCCAGCUUCCAUAAAACUCAUCUAUCAAGCCCAUGCCCACCUAUGUUUUCCAUACUGAAGCUGCUCCAGUUGGUCUGAAGACUGAUAAUUCACUAAUGUUCACAUUUGGGGUUCCUAAUGCCUUUCCUAGGGAGAAUGAACAAGAGCAGACAAUGGGGGCUGCAUUUGGAGCUGAAGUUGACUAAUCCAUCCAUCUCCACCUUCGGCUCAUUCUAACACCCAUUCUGGGGUCAGAACGAAGUCACACCUUUGGACAAAUUAAAAUAAAAGAAGGGGCAAAAGUGCUAGAAUCCUAGUGACUUUACUACUAUUACAGCAUCCUAGGAACUUAUGUUAAACCUGGGCAUGAAGCCUCACCGGCAGAAGCUCUCUAAUAAAGGGAGCUGAGUAUCCCCAGGGAGGUUCUGCUGCCCAGGUACUAAGCAGAAAGAACUGGGACAUCCGGGAAGUUUCUGUGAACCUUCAAAACUCAAGGAUCAUUUGGGGGGCAAGAGAUAUUACAGCCAGCAUCCUCUCUACUCUCUGCAUGGGGAGAAAAGAAGCCAGCAGCCUUGCCGCUUUGACAGAUCUAAUGAAACUACUCUUUUGGCUGAAGUUCUAUCAAAAUUUUCCUCUGCAAAGAACUGCCCUCCCCAUCUAGGGCAUCUGGAAGAUACAUUCUCCUACAGAGUAAUUACAUGAUCUCAUCUUUUAAACUGGAUAUUCAGGAGAACAGGCCAUAGGUGAAGGAUGAAGUAAGGUGAAGAACCAUCUGAGGGUUUUCCACUGAGGUCCAGUUUUCAGGUACAACCUCACCUCCCAGGGCUUUCACCUCACCAGGUCUAGUCAUGGUGAUUUUUCCUCUGACACCAUCUUCCUUCAUGAGUACCUAUAAUAAGGUAACUGAAUUUUCAUUUUGCUUUUGGCAAGGCAACCUUCCAAGUUCACCAUCUUCCUUCUAAGUAUACUGUUGCGUCAACCCCCAGCUGCAUCCAUUUCCUAGUCAUCUGUCAACCAACCACAAGGUAAGCUUAGCCAAUCAGGUUCACAUAUUCCGAGUUCCAGCUCACACCACACAAACACCUCUCAGAAUUACCGCUAGGUCAGAAUGUUAGAAAUGGAUGGAGUGUGGAGGUCAUCUGGUUAAAGACUGUCAUUCUACAGUGGACCACAGUGAAUGCCAAGGCACAGAAUGAAAUCAGAAUCAGAAUCAGGAAGAAAGCCUAGAACUCCUGAUGCUACCAAUGAACCCCAUUUUCUUUGAGUAGAAAGAGGGGGACAGGCAACCUAAUCAACCACUUGCUCAGUCAACUGAGUGCUUGCUAUUUAACUGUAGAUGCCUGGCAGUGUGUUUCAUUUUGUAAGAUCUGCAGGGGAAGUAUACGUACAGCAGUUACCUGCAAAUAACUUACAAAGCUAGUGGAAAAUUGAGAGGAACAGGAAUUCAGCAUCCAGGACCUCAAUCUCGAGGAACAGGUCUGGGCUUCCUUUUUUUUGUUAAUUAAACAACAUAAUUUCUUCUCUCUUACGUAAAACGCCGGAGGUGAACAGUCUACUCCACCCAGUCUGUGGACACCAGAUGCUUCCAGCUCACUCACUGAUCAUCUCCUACUCAUGGUCCAAGAUGGCAACUAAAGCUGUAGCCAUCACAUCCACAUUCCCAGCGGAGGAAGGAGGAGGCAAGGAUGAAUACUAGGGGGUAACUAAUAUAUCUGCCAUGGCACUAUAGAGAGAAUGUUCACCAAAUCAGGAGCCUCCUGGAGUUUGGCCGUGCCUGUUUUUAAAAAGCUUCACAAGCAGUUGUUGAUGCAUACCCUGGUUAAGCACAAUUGAACCAGAUUGUCUCUCAGGUACCUUCCAGUGGGAGCCAUUCUGAGUGACAUGAAAUGAGGAGAGAUCGAUGAAGUAUCACGCUAAGCUUUGUUUCAGGCAGUAAAUCCAGUGGGCUGAUCAAUGCAGCCAGGCCUUGAGAAGAGGGUGAAAUACAGGGCGGGCCCUCAAGGCCAAAAACAAUGCUGAGAGAUGCAGGCAGGUAUUUACUAGGAGACACAGCAUGGAGAGAGCGAGGAGGCAGGGGUCAAGCCUGAUUACAUUCCUGGAAAAUAGCUCCUGUAGUCCAAAGGCAGUGGCAGCCCCUCUAACGAGAUGAAGAACCUGUUUUUCCCGGGAAAGGAGCCUGGAACUUUUGAAAAUCCCCAUUCCAGGACUCAGCUGAAGGUUCUGUACUUCUCAAGGUGUGGUCUCCAAAUAUCUACAUCCAAAUUGCUAGAAGAGCUGGUUAAGAUGCAUAUUCCUAGGGCCCUAGCUUAGACUUAUUUAAUCAAAGUUCUAGGAUUUUCAUUAAUUUUUCAAAAUGUGCAGUUUUAACAAGAUGCCCAGCUGAUGGUUAACGAUCAUGAGAUCAGCGUGUUCCCUCUGAAGGAAGGCCAGCUCAUACCGUCCACCUUAAUCCUGCUAACUAUCUGCCCCCUUUACACACCAUUUCUCUGUACUCUCUCUCCUCCCUCGUCAUCCUCCUUUUUCUCUCUGCCUGCCUCCUUUAGUCCACCCCUCAAAAGCCCUUCUGAAAAAAAUUGAUGAUGAAUAACAAAAACGCUCCCCCUGAAAUGUGGGUGAGUCCUGCCUCCCCAAGCUGCCCCCAGAGUUUCUGCAGGCCCUUGUGUGCCCUUCCUCACAGCUGUCCUCAGGGGGCUGGCCAGGCUGAUGUUUGCCGCGAGUGGGAUGAAGGACCCCUUGGGAAAAGCCGGUUGCACUCACACACAGAGUAGCAAUGUCUGAAGGAGGUCCUAUUUCAGUCCCCCUCUUCCUUCCUGGCCUAGAGAAAACUUCCUGCCAUCCUCAGAGCUCAUGGCCUGAGUGUCCCUUCAUGAAAGAUACAGAACACCACCACCUUGUCUACAUGGCCAGGGCUGGGCUGAUACAUAAGUGGAGUUGGGAGCUAUUACGUGACUUGAAGGAAAGCAGGAAAAACCUGCUUGCCGUCAAGGGGAAAGGAAAUAAAUUAAUAUUUAUUGAUGGUCCUGCUGAAUGCCAGGCUCUGUGCUGUGGUGCUGUGCACUUUGUGUGUGUAAUUUCACUUAUCCCUGUGUUACAAAUGGUACAGUGGGAGCUCAGAGAGUUUGCAUAAUUUGUCCAAGUUCACACAACGAGUAAGUGAGGGUUGAUAUUUGAUAUGUAAGUCUAGAGCCGAUAUUCCUUCCAAUAAACCAUAUGCCAUGUACCCCAAAAGAACAAAUUUCAACUUUCAACUAUUAGACAUUCACCUCUUAGGACUGGUUCCAGGAAUCCUCUGUUAAAACAUUGCCUCUAUUAAAACAAGGUGCUCCCCUGGUAAACUAAUCUAUUUCCUGACCAGGUAUUCUCACGGUAUCACAGUGUUUCUUGGAUAAUUUUCCAACGUGAGAGCAGCUCAGAGGAAAUGGGUCUUGAGACCAGAUAGUAUGGAUGGUGGGCAGAGGUUGUCCAGGAGGGGCUACAGUGAGGGUGGGCGCCUCCGGACAGCAGGUGACACACAGAGCAUAGGAGAUGGGAGCCAGGGUAGGGCAGCACACUCAUCCGCUUUACAGGACUGAGGAGGGUUCUCGACUGGCACAGACCUUGGGAAAGAGAGCCCAGGUCCAGGCAGAGCUUUGAAACCAGAACUGGAUCUAAACCUGUGUGAUUUAACCUCUUCUGUCAGUCAUUUAACCUCUCUGAGCCUCAGUGUUCUCAUCUGUGGAAAUGAGACAGUAAUUCACUCCUCGCCAGGCUACAGCAACAAUUAAAUAGCUUACGCAAAGCCAUCCAGCACAGUCCCUGGCGCAUAGUAGGUACUCCUCACACGGAGAGCAAGACAGACGGCAAAGCCCUGAGAGGCCCAGCUCUGUUCCCCAGGCCCAGCACGCCCCUCCCCAGAACCCUUCCAAGCAAGCCCGCCAAGGAGGUGAUUGAUGGAGGCCUGUUUAUUUCCUUUGCCUAUUUUUAAUGACCUCUGGAGUCUACCAGCAAGCCUGCCCUAUUUCCUACUUCAGACAGAAUCACAGAACAGAGAAGUAGCUGAAACAUCAGGGUCCUGGCGGCACGCCUGCGCCGGCAGGUGCGGCUCAGGGAAUCUUUUCUCCUGGGGAGGUGGGGCCCGGGCAGCUCCGAGUGCAAGCUCAGGACCCAGGGCUGCUGCGUGUUCCUCAGGCACGUGUGCAGU